This 329-nucleotide unclassified non-coding RNA is filed under the name soil metagenome. RNAcentral describes it as "partial contains 5.8S ribosomal RNA, internal transcribed spacer 2, and large subunit ribosomal RNA". The stretch from base 1 to 120 matches the Rfam family "5.8S ribosomal RNA", at positions 35 to 154 of the family's 154-position model. The record is from RNAcentral.
GAUGAAGAACGUAGCGAAAUGCGAUAAGUAAUGUGAAUUGCAGAAUUCAGUGAAUCAUCGAAUCUUUGAACGCACAUUGCGCCCUCUGGUAUUCCGGGGGGCCUGCCUGUUCGAGCGUCAUUAUAACCACUCAAGCUCUCGCUUGGUAUUGGGGUUCGCGGUUUCGCGGCCCCUAAAAUCAGUGGCGGUGCCUGUCGGCUCUACGCGUAGUAAUACUUCUCGCGAUUGAGUUCGAUAGGUCUACUUGCCAGUAACCCCCAAUUUUUACAGGUUGACCUCGGAUCAGGUAGGGAUACCCGCUGAACUUAAGCAUAUCAAUAAGCGGAGGA